GGAAUAUGCAUGAACAAGUGGGU
RNAcentral lists this non-coding RNA (23 nucleotides) under Arabidopsis thaliana (thale cress). Lineage: Eukaryota; Viridiplantae; Streptophyta; Magnoliopsida; Brassicales; Brassicaceae. The record is from RNAcentral.